GGCUGGUCCAAAGGCAGGGAGUUAUCUCAAUUGAUUGUUCCUAGUUACAGAAUGAACUCCUUAUUCUACUCUUUCCCCCUUCUCACUACUGCACUUGACGGGUCUUUA
RNAcentral lists this Y RNA (108 nucleotides) under Mustela putorius furo (domestic ferret). Its description in RNAcentral is "Y RNA (ENSMPUG00000021336.1)". It matches the Rfam family "Y RNA". Rfam says of the family: Y RNAs are components of the Ro ribonucleoprotein particle (Ro RNP), in association with Ro60 and La proteins. The Y RNAs and Ro60 and La proteins are well conserved, but the function of the Ro RNP is not known. The record is from Rfam by way of RNAcentral. Lineage: Eukaryota; Metazoa; Chordata; Mammalia; Carnivora; Mustelidae.